UUGACCUGUGCAGUGGACAUGUGGGCACUGGGCUGCACGGUGGCGGAGUUGGUGACCGGCAGGGAAUUAUUCCAGUCGGACAGCCGCGACGACCACCUCCCGUGCUGCAUGGAGAUCCUCGGGUUGCCUCCAAGAUGUAUGAUGGAUGCAGCUCCUGACGGAAUACACUACUUUGAUCGUGUGGGCAUGAUGUUCUGCCCAGUCAAGAGAAGGGUGCCAGG
Long non-coding RNA from Lethenteron reissneri (Far Eastern brook lamprey), 221 nucleotides. RefSeq lists it as uncharacterized. Lineage: Eukaryota; Metazoa; Chordata; Hyperoartia; Petromyzontiformes; Petromyzontidae. The record is from RefSeq and is a predicted model, not a curated record.